GUUAGUUGAAGAAACCCAAUUCAACUAGACACAAAAGGACAAAAAUACCUUAAACCCACUUCUUUCAAGAAACUCCCUCCCAUUUCCUCCCCUCCUCCGAGCCCUAACCCACAAAAGCAUCCCACUAGCCAUCUCACUACACAUCGGCGUCUAUGAACAUGGAAUCCACCGGCAACGUUAAGCAUAGAAAGGAAAACCAGCCCAAAGAUGACAAAGUUUGAAGGGAUGAAAACCAUGAGGAGAUUAACCAGUGCAUUAAUGGUUGUGUUUUUUGUAAAACUUUUAAUUAGUACUUAUGUGUUUUUUAUUAUGGAUGUUGAAUAUUAGGAUUUAUGGAUGUUUCCUUCUCUCUGAUGUCUCCUCUCUCUCUUUUUCUCCAUUUUUUUUUAUAUAUUCAAAUUCUGGGUAAUGAGAUAAAAGGGGAAGGCUACAAUGAUGUCUCCUUUAAACUU
This is a long non-coding RNA of Nelumbo nucifera (sacred lotus), 452 nucleotides long. RefSeq lists it as uncharacterized. NCBI's taxonomy places the organism in Eukaryota, Viridiplantae, Streptophyta, Magnoliopsida, Proteales, Nelumbonaceae. The record is from RefSeq and is a predicted model, not a curated record.